Molecule: ribosomal RNA, 475 nt
Filed under: uncultured bacterium
Lineage: Bacteria
Description: SSU rRNA
Rfam family: Bacterial small subunit ribosomal RNA
Source: RNAcentral
AGGAUGAACGCUGGCGGCGUGCCUAACACAUGCAAGUCGAACGUCCUGUCUCGCAAGAGGCAGGGAGUGGCGGACGGGUGAGUACCACGUGGGUCAUCUACCGUGAGGUGAGGAAUACCGGCGAGAAAUCGCCGACAAGACCGCAUAGCCUCGGUGCAAGCCGAGGAAAGCUCUCUCGAGAGAGGGAGCGCCACACGAGGAGCCUGCGCCCGAUUAGCUAGCUGGUGGAGUAACGGUUCACCAGGGCGACGAUCGGUAGCUGGUCUGAGAGGACGAUCAGCCACACUGGGAUUGAGAACGGCCCAGACUCCUACGGGGGGCAGCAGUGAGGAAUUUUCGUCAAUGGGGCAACCUGAACGAGCAACGCCGCGUGCAGGAAGAAGGUUUUCGGAUCGUAAACUGCUUUUCGUGGGGAAGAGAACGGACGGUACCGAGGAAUCAGCCCCGGCUAACUACGCGCCAGCAGCCGCGGUAA